RNAcentral lists this ribosomal RNA (497 nucleotides) under uncultured bacterium. RNAcentral's name for it is "partial 16S ribosomal RNA". It matches the Rfam family "Bacterial small subunit ribosomal RNA", at positions 28 to 507 of the family's 1533-position model. The record is from RNAcentral.
GACGAACGCUGGCGGCGUGCCUAAUACAUGCAAGUUGAGCGCUGAAGGUUGGUACUUGUACCAACUGGAUGAGCAGCGAACGGGUGAGUAACGCGUGGGGAAUCUGCCUUUGAGCGGGGGACAACAUUUGGAAACGAAUGCUAAUACCGCAUAAAAACUUUAAACACAAGUUUUAAGUUUGAAAGAUGCAAUUGCAUCACUCAAAGAUGAUCCCGCGUUGUAUUAGCUAGUUGGUGAGGUAAAGGCUCACCAAGGCGAUGACACAUAGCCGACCUGAGAGGGUGAUCGGCCACAUUGGGACUGAGACACGGCCCAAACUCCUACGGGAGGCAGCAGUAGGGAAUCUUCGGCAAUGGACGAAAGUCUGACCGAGCAACGCCGCGUGAGUGAAGAAGGUUUUCGGAUCGUAAAACUCUGUUGGUAGAGAAGAACGUUGGUGAGAGUGGAAAGCUCAUCAAGUGACGGUAACUACCCAGAAAGGGACGGCUAACUACGUG